Long non-coding RNA from Anolis carolinensis (green anole), 1059 nucleotides. RefSeq lists it as uncharacterized. Lineage: Eukaryota; Metazoa; Chordata; Lepidosauria; Squamata; Anolidae. The record is from RefSeq and is a predicted model, not a curated record. The transcript is spliced from 3 exons.
CCAAGCCUCCUUUGCGCCUGCGCGUGGAGCUCCUUCUCUUCCUGUGCUUCCAGCUCCAAAGAAAUGGAUCUCUGGAUCUCUCUCUGGAUCCGUCUGCAGUUUCGCUCCAGGCUAAGGAAUCAUGGAAGUUCUGUUGGUGAGUGUGCACAGAAGUCCAAAUAUACUCUUAAUCACCAUCAUCAUCUUAAUCAUCCUCGCCCUGUUGCGGACGUCCUUUCGCAACAGGGCACAGGGAGUAAACUUUGGAAACUCUGGCCAAACAUGGACAAAGUAAGAAUGUCAUAGGAAAGGCCACCCAGAAAGACCAGCUGCAGAGCAUUCCCCCUGAAAGCACUAUAACCAUCAUCAUCAUCUUUGUGAGUAUGUUUUUAUGUGUUUAUAUGUUUUAAAUAUACCUUGUUGUUGUAUUUUGUGGUGUAUUUUGGGCUUCGUCCCCUUCGGGGAGAUGGGGAGGGAUACAAGAAUAAAGUUGUUGUUGUUGUUGUUGUUAUAUAAACAUGUAAAACAAAGCAUAUAAAAUACAAUGAAAACAUACUCAAGUGACCUAUUAUUAUUAUUAUUAUUAUUUAUUCAUUCAUUUAUUUCUAUCUCACUUUUCUCCCAUGGGUGGGAUUCAAAGCGGUGUAUAACAUAUAAAAUUCAUGUAAAUAUAUCCAAAGACAAUACCUAAUCAGUUAAAGCAAGCAUGGGCAACUUCCGGCCAGUGCAGCUAUUUGUCAAAUAUUUAUUUUAGCUUCUGUUGUAAUGUAGGUUGUGUGCUGCAUGUGUCAAGUGUGUUUGUUGAGAGUUUGGGCUAAUCAAUGAAACGUACCUUAAAAAUAUUAGUAAUAUUGAUGUCAAUAUUAAUAAGAAUGACAAUAAUAUGGAUAUUAAAAAUACUACUAUCAACACUAUUAUUAUUAACAAUAUUUAUAAUGGGCUGUCGAAUGCUUUCAUGGCUGGAAUCACUGGGUUGUUGUGAGUUUUUUCCGGGCGGUCUGGCCAUGUUCCAGAAGCAUUCUCUCCUGACGUUUCACCCACAUCUAUUGAUUGGCAGGCAUCCAUAGAAGUGGGCGAAAG